CUGCAGCUUAAUGUCUCUCUCUCCUUCUUCGGGUUUUCUCCCGAAAUCAGUUUUGUUUCUCUUCCUCCUCCAAAGCUCGAUCUCUCCAUUUUCUCCAUUGAAAAUAUGUUGAUCUUCUUCUCUGUCGAUUCUCUGUCGAUUAUGAAGUUGAUGGCCACUUUAUUUGCCAUUUCCGUCACUACGUGUCGAUGUCGUUUCUCUCCCAUGCUCUGAAGCUCUGAUAAAGAUCAGGAGAGAAAAUGAUAUUCUUCAGAGGAAUCAGCUUCAAGAGAAAGAAAAGAUCGAGGAAAGGAUGAAAGUCAUACAAGAGGCAAGAUAAGUACAAACAUCCCUUUUCGGUAGAAAAAUAACUUGUAAAAACUGAUGUCGAUGAUGAUUUUGCAUGAUGAUCUUGAGGAAGGUGAAAUAUUUUACUAGUAGAUUAUCGUGUGUCUGUUGAAAAAAAAUCAAAUAUUUUGCAUAGAAACCGAGUUAGUGUUGGUUGAUUUUAACAAGUGAUGAUGAUAAUCUUGGGUUCCUUGGUUGAAUUUAACUAGUGAUGAUGCUUAAGCUUCGUGUGACUGUUGAAAAAAAUGAAGUUUUUUUGCAUAGAAACAGAGUUUGGGUAGUUUGAUUUUAACAAGUCAUGAUGAUGAGAUUAGUGUUUUUGUUUUCGUAUUCUUAGAUAGAAACAGAGUCCCCAUGUGUAUUCUUGUUGUUUUUUGUUUUUUGUUUCUCUUUACAGAGAACAAGAUUUUAAUUUUACUUUUUUUUGUUUGUUGUGUGACGGUUGAGGAUGUGCGUGGAAGAAAGUUGCUGAGUUUGUCUUUUCAUUCAUUACAGAACCCACUCUCACAAAAGGCAACGGAUUCAAUGUCAUCAAAGCUUCUAUCUUUCAUUUCACAGCUGGGAAGAGGUAAAUAUAUUUUGUCAGAACUGAAACCCUAGAAGCCUACAACCGAGAAGGGUAUUGCUGAAGCGUCAGGGGUAGGAUCGUCUUUUUCACUCCUAUUUUGAUGACGCGUCAGAUCAAUUUUUCGGUCUUUGCCGUUCUGCUAAUAUAUCCAUCUUCCUUUGUUUUUAGCCUAAAUUGCUCUAUAAUUAAUUUUUAUUUAUUUAUCAUGUAUUCCACUGUCAUUCAACAUACAUAAUGGAAGUAAUAUUUACUUUA
Molecule: long non-coding RNA, 1150 nt
Organism: Raphanus sativus (radish)
Lineage: Eukaryota; Viridiplantae; Streptophyta; Magnoliopsida; Brassicales; Brassicaceae
Exons: 2
Source: RefSeq, a predicted model, not a curated record